This 482-nucleotide ribosomal RNA is filed under the name uncultured bacterium. RNAcentral's name for it is "partial 16S ribosomal RNA". It matches the Rfam family "Bacterial small subunit ribosomal RNA", at positions 29 to 507 of the family's 1533-position model. The record is from RNAcentral.
AAUGAACGCUGGCGGCAUGCCUAACACAUGCAAGUCGAACGGUAACAGGCCGCAAGGUGCCGACGGGUGGCGAACGGGGGAGUAAUGCACCCGAACGUGCCCAGUAGCGGGGGGUAACUACUCGAAAGAGUAGCUAAUACCGCAUACGAUCUAAGGAAGCGAGCGGGGGACCGCAAGGCUUCGAGCGACUGGUGCGGCCGAUGUCAGAUUAGGUAGUUGGUGGGGCAAAGGCUCACCAAGGCAACGAUCGGUAGCGGGUCUGAGAGGACAACCAGCCACACUGGGACUGAGACACGGCCCAGACUCCUACGGGAGGCAGCAGUGGGGAAUUUUGGACAAUGGGCGAAAGCCUGAUCCAGCAAUGCCGCGUGCAGGAAGAAGGCCUUCGGGUUGUAAACUGCUGUUGUACGGAACGAAACAACGCUGUUUAAUACCCGAGGAUAAUGACGGUACCGGAAGAAUAAGCACCGGCUAACUACGUG